Molecule: long non-coding RNA, 1127 nt
Organism: Exaiptasia diaphana
Lineage: Eukaryota; Metazoa; Cnidaria; Anthozoa; Actiniaria; Aiptasiidae
Exons: 3
Source: RefSeq, a predicted model, not a curated record
GUUAGAGCGCUUCAAAUGUACGAUUUUUCUCGUUUCAAAAACGCCAGAUAAACGUGUCUAUUCAUUUGGGCAAGAAAACCACAGGGGUGUUUACACAACACCUCAGAUCUGUCAGCAUCAUGUCAUUAUGCCUGGCUAUUCUCAGGAUAUGUUCCUGGCUUUGUAUAGUAAUGUGAGAGCUUUACAAUCAUUCUCGGCAAAGGUCAAGAAAGUACCUUCGAUUCUAUAUUAAAUAUUAUUUGUGUUGUAACGAGUCUAUAACCAUGCCCAGAAGAAGAAGGCAACAAUCAGCGAACGGGGGAAGCGAGUUCGGAACAAGUCCCCGACAAGUUGUUAUAGAGCAGAUGAGAGCACAUGGGUGAGUAGCUAAGCGUAAUUUACCCGAAUUCUUUGGUAUAUAUAGCUUCAUCAAUACCGUGAAAAAAAGUAAUUUUGGUAACACUUUGUAGUUCAACGUCAGCAUUACAAAUUCUUCUUUAUAUUUAGAUUUGACGGCGAAGUUUUUGCCGAAAACUUGGAGACAAGUACCUACCAACGCAAAAGACGCGGGAAACCAGCAAGGUUGAACCGGUAUUUUCACUAUUGCUCUUGGGCACACGCAUUGAUGGAAAAGAAUAUUGGCCCAGCAGGAGCAGAAUAUACGUUUCCGUCGAGUGUCUUGGCAUUUAUACGAGAUCUUGUACCAGGAAACGUAAAGGGUGAAUUUCGCGAGCAUGCUUACUUGGUUUCAAUGCAAGAGUUCUGCGAAGCAAUGGAAUUGCCAAGUUAUUAGCUGUGAUGUAAACCGUAGAGUGCAUUCAUUAUAUCCAUGAAACACUUUGCUAAUGAAAUUGUGCCAAUUUUUAAUUAGACCUUUUCCUUUGAUUGUUUACAAGUGCAAUUUUGUGCAAUUAUGUCAAUUAUUUGCAAGGUAUUUCACGUCUAUAAGAAAUUGACUCUAUUGCGGGAUGUUCAUAGUCAAAUAGAUGAAAAUCAUUGUAGUGUUUUUAGUGAAAGCGUGAAACACCAUUUACUAAAUUGUUCACAAUUGUCCUAGUUGAACAAUGGAAAACAAUAGAAUUAGGCUAAACUAGUUCAACAUAGCAUUACUAAUUUUUCACGCUUUUACUAAAUGCACUCUGUCAUAG